Phragmites australis (common reed) is the source of this 139-nucleotide small nucleolar RNA. RefSeq annotates it as small nucleolar RNA Z247. Lineage: Eukaryota; Viridiplantae; Streptophyta; Magnoliopsida; Poales; Poaceae. The record is from RefSeq and is a predicted model, not a curated record. The transcript has a single exon.
GCUCUCGACGACGAAGAAUUGGUGAUGUACAUCUGCAACGGCCUUGACCCUGAGUACAAUCCUCUAGUUUCUGCUCUUGUAACUAGAAUAGAACCUGUUACUCCUGCCGAAUUGUAUUCCCAGUUGUUAAGCUUUGAAA